UCGCCUUUAGAUGGGCCCGCGUUGGAUUAGCUAGUUGGUGGGGUAAAGGCCUACCAAGGCGACGAUCCAUAGCUGGUCUGAGAGGAUGAUCAGCCACACUGGGACUGAGACACGGCCCAG
RNAcentral lists this ribosomal RNA (120 nucleotides) under uncultured bacterium. RNAcentral's name for it is "partial 16S ribosomal RNA". It matches the Rfam family "Bacterial small subunit ribosomal RNA", at positions 215 to 334 of the family's 1533-position model. The record is from RNAcentral.